Betta splendens (Siamese fighting fish) is the source of this 1774-nucleotide long non-coding RNA. NCBI's taxonomy places the organism in Eukaryota, Metazoa, Chordata, Actinopteri, Anabantiformes, Osphronemidae. The record is from Ensembl.
AUGGAGCCAACCAGUGAGUUGAAGAACCCGAAUACCAGCAUGUCCACUGACCCUAGCAUAGAUAUCCGGGUCGCGACUGAAGAAGCAUUAAAUGAGCUGACCCAAGCUUUUAUUCCUGGAUACAUGACAGAAAUCCAGGGAUCCACGGUGAAGGAACUUGACAAUCUGUUAACAGACUUCACUGCUGACGCCCUAACCCAGUCCUUGAAGGAAAAGGAUAAGAUGAAAAUGCUGGGACGAAUGGCCAUAAUAAUGUCCAUCCAAUUAAAACAAACACACCAACUACUAGAGAGAGCCAAUAAAAAAUUAGAUACCCGCAAACAACAAAACACCCAACUACAUGAAAAAAAUAACCUUCUUGAACACCUCCUGGAAAUGUCAAAACGGGAUCAAGCAGAAUCAGUAGCCAAAUCCAGUGAAUUAGCCGCUGAUUUUCAAACAGAAAAGGAGGAUUUAGAAAAUGAAAAUCAUGAAUUAAAACAAUCCCUCCUGCAAUGUGAGCAAGAGCUCACUACUGCUCAACAACGGCUUGAAGAAGAACGAAUAGAUCAAAACAAAACACAAACUUUGCUCUCCCAAACUACGGAGGAGAAUGAUGACCUAAAAUCCAAAAACAAAAUUCUUGAGAGACAUCUAGAGAAGGAACAACAAGUGAACCAACACUUGCGGUGUCAAUUGAUUGUUGCUGAAAACAAAACAUGCGAAAUUAAACGCCUCCAAGAAAAACAUGAGAAAGAAUUAGCCAAGGUUAAAAGAGAUCUUGAUUAUUCUUUUGAAAUAGGGAAGACACACACUUCCCAUGAUGCCUUUUACCAGCAAACAAGAAGGGAAGCAAUUUCCUUUGACGUCCCAUAGUCAUAGGACAGGUUUUCCCCUUCGAUUUUAUAAGGGGAUACAAAAAAAAAAAAAGUAGAGAAGCACCAGUCUACUCAUGGGAUUAGAAUGUUCCACAGGUUCCUGUCUGCCAUCCGUGGAUGCCUGGAAGUACCUCACGAUGAUCUCCAUCUUCAUUCGAUCAGCGUGAGCUAAGUGGGGGAAUAUGUAGCAAUCCACGUCUGGACUGAGGUAACCUGACCUACAUGUGAACUUAACUCCCUCCUUUGAAGAGCCCCUAUGUCCCUUUCAGUCCCCAGAGAUAAGGGACCCUGAAUCUUUCUCCACAACAGGAGACUGGCUUCUAUCACCACAGGCACCAAUUGACGCCAACAUCUCAAAGGUCCAUAUCAAAGAACCAUGAGUCCACUUUGUUGAUCUACCUGUAAAUCCCUCAGGAUUCUACCUCUGCUUAUCAUGCCAAAAGGAGAGGCUGUCACAUUUAUUACCGAGCCGUCCUCAUCAAUCGCGGGCGACGAUUCCUGGCCCAGAGGCCGUGGCACCUGGACCAGAGAGGGCACGCCUGCUCAACCGAACCGGUAACGGGAAACGCUGCACAGCGGCUACAGCUCCAAACUAAGGCAAGACGAACAUCUCUAAUCCUCUGAGAAUUCUGGUGUUUCUCAAAGCGCUAAAAUUGAACAUUCCAAAUUGAUUAGUUAUCCUUAGAUUUGAAUUAGUUAGAGACAAAUACUCUUUUCUCUUGAUCAAAGCCAUCACACACUCAGGUCUUGACCAUUCUUUGGGUCUUCACUCAUUGAUUCAUUCACUGUUCAUCAUCUCAUUCUGAUCGUUCUCUCAUUUUCUAUUCUGUUUAUUUGAGUAUUUCCAUAUUAUGUUAUUCAUAUAUCCAGUAGUGUUAGAUUAAUAAAACGUUAAAAGGAAUCUGGUUUUGUGUGCA